UACAGAGGGUGCGAGCGUUAAUCGGAAUUACUGGGCGUAAAGCGCGCGUAGGCGGCUUUGCAAGUCGGGUGUGAAAUCCCCAGGCUUAACCUGGGAACUGCAUUCGAGACUGCAUUGCUAGAGUAUGGGAGAGGGAAGUGGAAUUUCAGGUGUAGCGGUGAAAUGCGUAGAUAUCGGAAGGAACAUCAGUGGCGAAAGCGACUUCCUGGACCAAUACUGACGCUCAUGUGCGAAAGCGUGGGGAGCAAACAGG
Molecule: ribosomal RNA, 253 nt
Filed under: uncultured bacterium
Lineage: Bacteria
Description: partial 16S ribosomal RNA
Rfam family: Bacterial small subunit ribosomal RNA
Source: RNAcentral